GCUCAGGAUGAACGCUGGCGGCGUGCCUAAUACAUGCAAGUCGAGCGGACAGACAGGAGUGCUUGCACUCCUUGAAGUCAGCGGCGGACGGGUGAGUAACACGUGGGUAACCUACCUAUAAGACUGGGAUAACUUCGGGAAACCGGAGCUAAUACCGGAUAAUAUGUUUCACCUCAUGGUGAAACAGUGAAAGACGGUUUCGGCUGUCACUUAUAGAUGGACCCGCGGCGCAUUAGCUAGUUGGUGAGGUAACGGCUCACCAAGGCGACGAUGCGUAGCCGACCUGAGAGGGUGAUCGGCCACACUGGGACUGAGACACGGCCCAGACUCCUACGGGAGGCAGCAGUAGGGAAUCUUCCGCAAUGGACGAAAGUCUGACGGAGCAACGCCGCGUGAGUGAAGAAGGUUUUCGGAUCGUAAAACUCUGUUGUAAGGGAAGAACAAGUACGUUAGUAACUGAACGUACCUGACGGU
Molecule: ribosomal RNA, 474 nt
Filed under: Macrococcus equipercicus
Lineage: Bacteria; Bacillati; Bacillota; Bacilli; Caryophanales; Staphylococcaceae
Description: bacterial SSU rRNA
Rfam family: Bacterial small subunit ribosomal RNA
Source: RNAcentral